UUGCAAUCUGUGUGUCUACAGGAGAAAACAAAUGAGAAUGAGGAGGAGUCAUCCCAUAACAAGACGGCAGAUGAGCGCGCCCCCAGGACGCAUCCAAAGCCCAGAGAUCUGCAAGUGGCGGCACUUCAGACUCUGCAGGAAACAUUCACACUGGUCCAAUAGCAUACAGCAGAAGAAGCGUGCGCUCCACUAGCGAAGCUCAAAAUAAGGAAGGUGAUGAUGCAG
Panicum virgatum (switchgrass) is the source of this 225-nucleotide long non-coding RNA. RefSeq lists it as uncharacterized. The transcript has 2 exons. Lineage: Eukaryota; Viridiplantae; Streptophyta; Magnoliopsida; Poales; Poaceae. The record is from RefSeq and is a predicted model, not a curated record.